Molecule: long non-coding RNA, 2469 nt
Organism: Cyprinus carpio carpio
Lineage: Eukaryota; Metazoa; Chordata; Actinopteri; Cypriniformes; Cyprinidae
Source: Ensembl
AUUCAGAGGCAGGUUCAACAUGAAGUUUAAAGCAGGUGCUCCUCUCCAGCUCUUCAUCCUGAGUACAAAACAGGAACAUGAGAUAUGUUUUAAUCAGUGUGAGUUGAUGUGCGUCAUCUAUCUGCCCGGUGUAGUUUAUGCCACUUGGCCAGGCUUGGGUGUAGUUCUGCAUGGUUGAGAAGAAGAGUUAUCACUCGUCUGACCCUCAUCCAAGAUUAGAGCUGCUGAACUGACUACCGCCCACUGUCCACGUUAAAAGUGCUGCAGGCCAGGCCAGCGCAGGCCGCCAUGUCAAGGUCGCUUGCUGAAACUGUCGACGCACAUCCAAAAGAAUUCUCAGCUUUAGUGUGCCAGCCAUCCACGUCAUGACAGGUGACAACCAGGCUUCCGAUUAGACUGUAAGCUGUGCACCCCCAGUCCACACGCACCAAAGACAGUUCCCUCAAGGGACUGCUCACCAUGGGGACCCGCGUUUUGCUCAUGGCCAUCAUCUUUCUAAGGUAAUUAAGAGCAGGGAGAUGAGGAGGUUCAUCUUGAGAUAAACUACUAAUUGAAACAUUCCUAUCAGGAAGAGGUCAAAUUGUCCCUCUUUUCUUUACUUUCACAAUCUACGAGGCUUUUGAGUGGCCCUUGCUGUUAAAGCCGAGUGGUCUGAAGAGGUCAGUGGAUGGUUUGUUUAGUUGGAAGUGGUGCGCAUACACUCAUUUGUGCCAUUUGGUGGUUAACCUUGAUUUGUGACCUCUCCUGAUUUCAUCUUUAGCUGUUUUAACUCCAUUUCUUCAACUAAGAGAAGCUUGAUUAGAUGCUUUUUCUAUUAUCUUUAUAUAGCGCAUACACUGUCUUCCUCAGAGUGGCUCUUAGCACUGUAGUUAAGGCCAAUUACACUAACAGCACUAGUGCGCUCAAUUUUUUUAUCCUCCUUUGAUAUGUGGAGUUAUUAGAUCUAGUGAUUCACAGUAUUGCUUCAGCACAGUUUUGUGUACUUUCCCCAUCUUACAUAGCGGACUGAUGGAAAGCCAGCAAUAAAGUGUUUGGGUUAUUGAGGCUAGCCUAACUACAUCCAAUGGCAGUGAUAUUUCCGAAGAUACAUCACAUUAUACACAGAUAAUUAGUUUAAUGAGUUUAAAUGCCUGUGUCUUUCUAUUUUAGGCCAUUCAGCUUUAAGUUCUCAAUUAAAAAUCUAGCUUUUGUUGGAAUUAAUUAGAUAGUAAUGACUAAGCUAAUAGAGGAAAAUGCCUCACUUUAUUGUUAGCCCCCUUUUUUUUUACACCUGUUCUAGAUGACAUUGCCUGAGGGAUAAUCGGGAUGUUUACUAAUUGGGUGUUCCAUAUAAACAGUUCCCUUGUAGAGAAAUUAGUCAGAGGAAACAGAAAACUAAGCAUGUUUUCCUAAGCCUGUUAGCCACUACAGCACCUCUGAUAAGUACAACUAAUUCCGUUAGUAUCGUGAUGAUUUUUUUUUUUCCCGCCGUUAAAUGAAAAGCAUAUAUGGUGGGGCUGAUAGCACCUGCUGUAGGGGUGGGCCCGGAUUGUCAGGCUUGCUGGGCUAAUGGAGUCUCGGGCUUCUGUGCAGCAGAUGCCCUUUAUUUGUCCUUCAGACAGGAGGAAAGGAGAAAAUGGAUCGAUGGGGCUUUAUUGUUGCUUGGAAUCCACACAUACCAUGAGUAGAAAGGAAGUGCUCUGUAGAACUGCUAGACAUAUUGGAUAUAGGGAGGGGGUCAGGAAGUCUCAGGUAUCUGGACGAGAUCAAUAGAGGAGAAAAACAGAGGAGAGAGAAACAGAAGGAACCUGAGGUCUGACCUAAAGCAUUCCCUGUUUCAUUGGAGUUUAAUGUAUUAAAAUAUUUAAUGCACAUGCAAUAUUAAUACAGUUUAAUACUGUAACAAUGCUGUACAAUUCAAGUCACUUUAGAGGGCUUCCCCAUUCCACCAUGCAUGGGAAAGACUUGUUUAGGUUUGUACCUAAAAUGAUAUUUCCUUAUUUCACCAAAUCUAAACUCUAAUAUGCUAAAGUAAAUCCUACGAUGAUGAUGGUUGGUACCAUAAUAGGAUAAUAAUAACACUAAUAAAACAAAUUGCCACUUUUUAUUUACAGUACAAAUCUUACUAAAUGGAAACACUGAAUAUUGAAGGUUAUCAAAUAUUGAAGUUGAUGGGAUCCAAAAACUUACAGUAACCUAAAGAUGUGAAAUUUAAAAUUACAGCUGCAGUGUAACAGAUUUUACAAUAGAAACUACACAAAGGAAAGAAACAAAGGCAUAGUUUGUUCUGUGUCAAGCUUAAUCAUGCAGUACAUGGGCAGGAAUCAGAAGUGAGUCGGAUGCCCCAUAGCAAACUUUCUUGCCUGGGGUGGAAUUGCUCACCCGGGGCUCUUCUGCUUGAAAGUUCAGGAAAGAAAUCGCUAAACUUCCUCGCAGUGAUGUUACAGUCUACACUGUGAUUCUCUUUUAACCUUUUUUUUUUUUGUUUUU